UAGAGGCCACACAGCAUAUGGUGGAUCUGGUGUUAGAGUUUCGUGUUUCCCAAAGUGCUGAAUGAAUUCUGCCUUUGGCACACAACAUAAUGUUAGAAUCUCAGGUGUAAAGAAUUGCACUUAUAAGCAUAAUCAUGCACUGCAAGCAUGAUAAGUAGCUGGCGUCCAUUUUGAGGUCACACAGCAAGUACAAGAUCUAUCUCCGUCCUCCCCUUUUUUUGAGAAUCAGCUCCACUGGGGCCAAGGAUUGCUACCUGUCUUCUUCACUGCCCUAGCCUAAUCUCCUAGAAUGGUACCUGGCAUGUAGUAAACACUCAAAAAAUAUUUGUUGAGUGAGUGAAUACAAUAAAAGCAUAUAU
Molecule: long non-coding RNA, 359 nt
Organism: Cebus imitator (Panamanian white-faced capuchin)
Lineage: Eukaryota; Metazoa; Chordata; Mammalia; Primates; Cebidae
Exons: 3
Source: RefSeq, a predicted model, not a curated record